Molecule: long non-coding RNA, 4351 nt
Organism: Triticum dicoccoides
Lineage: Eukaryota; Viridiplantae; Streptophyta; Magnoliopsida; Poales; Poaceae
Exons: 3
Source: RefSeq, a predicted model, not a curated record
CCCUCCUCUCGAUCCACCCCCUUUCGCUGUGUUUUCUCUUUCCCUCGUAUCCCACUCCGCCGCCUCCCGCCUUCCUCCGCCGCCGCCGCCCCUCACCCUGCCUGCCUGCCUUGGUUUUUGGGCAUCCCACUCCUCCGCUGCCAUAUGCCGCCUCCACCAAGAUCCGAGGCCCCCCACUUGUGGGCCGCCGCCGCCGCCACAGAACCUCGGGGAAGGGCGGGGCAGGGCGCAGUCUUCCUCUUCCGCCGCCAUCUGUUCCCCCUCCGCUCCCAUCUGCCGCCGCCGCGGAAACGUGGGACGCCGCUGUCGCUGCCGCUGAAUCCAAGGGACGUCGCCGCCGUCGCGGAUCGGCAGGACGCCGCCGUCGCAAAUCGGCGGGACGCCGCCACCGCUAUCGCCUCGGAUCACCAGGAUGCCGCCGUCGCAGAUCACCAGGUCGCCGCCGUCGGCUCCGAUCUCACACGCCGCCGGCGUGGCCGUGACGACUGAUGAGCACGCUCAGCCCCCAUUCCUGCCACAGGGGAAGCUAGAGGCAGAGAACCGUCGGUCUUGCAUAUGUCAGUGACGGUCGCUGAUCAGGUUGUUGCGCGCGAAUGACAACAAUUGGUUCAUAACGAACCAAUAGUAGGACAUGCCGUUCGACCUUCUUAUAGAAGUGAACAAUCAUUUCUAGAGCAUUAUAUUAGCUGGACUUUUUAUGAGGUAUGAGCAAGUUGAGAGUUCCGAGUGGGUAUAUUUUCUGAGUUCCUAAAUAUGAUCAGUGGGCUGGCGCCGAAGUCCAUCUUGACAGGUAGGUAGAUUGAGAUAAUUUGUAUGUCUCAAGGUUGUUAUCUGGUUCAUUAGUGUGCUGAGGCUCUGUAGAUCAAAACAGAGCCAUGAAGGUUGCUAUGAGCAAACUAUGUCCAGGGAAGGUCAUGGCUAAGGAAACGGGACUGGCGGAUUUCCCCCUCGUCGUGGACAAGACGUCAUGACACAGUUGUGAUGAGGUGUGGCGCAAGCGUGGCUGUAGGAUCCCUCCUAUGAAGCCAGGCAAUGACAUCAUCGGAUCCUCACUGGUAUGCAGAGCUGUCGCGUGGAUCCGACAGGUGGCAGGGACGUGUGACUAAUCAGGUACAUGGCCUUGGUUCCACAUUUAAUGUUACCAAGUUCUUAAUCUGUCAUAUUGCUUCUACCGUUCAGAUAUCUGAUGCCAUUACAGAUGGUGCUGAAGGAUCUUGUAGUAUGCAAGUAUGGAGCAAUUUAUAAAAUGGCUUGCAUGAUGUCACUUGUCAUCCUUGGCAUCUUAUCUCUUUCGCACUACUACCUGCAGCUGGAGGCAUCAUGCCAAGGAAGGUGAUUCCGUACUGUUUUUCUGAAACCUCGGCUGUACUCGUGAUUUCUUGUCUCAUUAAUCUCACGGCUACACAGGACAACUUCUGAAUAUAUUACAGUUAAUGCCUUUCUUCUUGGAGCUUUUGUAUACUAGACUAGCAUGAUUUGUUGGGAUGUGGAUUGCGGUAUGUGCAAAUUUUAGAUUCAAGUGCUGCUUGGGGGUCUGCAACGAAAGCGUUGCAGGUUUUAUUUGUUAUCUAUGGUGUUUGUCUUUCAUGCGUUUCCCCCUUCUUCGAUUUGAAAUAGUGAAUAAUUUACCAAAACAGUUUGGUGUUUGUGCAGCUGAUUUCUCAGCCAUGGCAUGGCUGUAUUUAGUGUGGCACUACUUUAUGCAACAUUUUAUGUUUGUCUUGGAGUAUAGAUUCACCUGAUUCAAUGAAGGUUACGGACAGUAAGUAACUUGCAAGCAUGAAUUUUUUCCACCAUUAAAUCUACUCCUUUUUUCCUAUGUUUACAUGCCCCCACAUAUUUACGGGUUCAACUUUUGACCAACUAAUCCUGGGUUAGUUCAUAAAAAUUAUACCAUUGAAUUUCUAUUAUAAAAUAGUUUCCAGCAGUAUAUAUAUUUUCUGACAUGUGAAUCAUCUAUUAUUGGUCAAUGUUCAAACACAAAACCUGAGGGCGCCAUGUAAAUAGAGACGGAGGUAGUAGUUAUUAGUUUUCACAAUGUAUACAUUUUUAAACUAUCAGUUUCUUUUAAGAAUUGAUGCGUACGCGUUCAAUUGAUGUCGCGAAUUCAACAAGUGCUUUGAUGUCUCUGUCUACAAGUUUGUGAGUUAGAUUGGUUCAGUAAAUGGCUUAAACUGUUGGAGGAGUCUGUGGUUGUGAUGGUACGUUCAUACGUUGUUGUUGGUAUCGUUCGCUUCCUCCCCCGCAGUGCUCCAUCGUCGAUGGAAGGAUCUCCUCGCCGAUUUUUUCCAAACAAACCGCACCCCGUCUGUUUGUUUCCAUUCAAAUUUCACUCCCAUGACAUGACAACCGAUCCCUCCCCAUCCUACUCUUUCCUUGCAAAAGCAUAACAGAAUCGAAACUUGCCUUGCCUUGACCGACACAUUCCCAGCGGAUUUCACAAAUCAAUCUUCAUCCAGUCCACCGCAGUUCCCGCUGAUCCCCUUUCAUCAUCCCCGCCGCCCCGCCUUCCAAUUAGCCAUCUUUCAUUGCAAUCAUCGAGCCCUACCAUGCAAGCAGUCCUACGAGGCUACGACUGUCGUGGUGCUGGUGGCCUCCAGCGCGCUCGCCGGGGCCAGGGGUGGACUAAGUUUCGGUGCUGUCUCUGGUGGAGACGACGGGAUGCGGCUGCACGAGAAGAACCUGCAGAAGAAGAUGCCGGUGUGGACAGAGAGGCGGACGCAGCAGGAGGCGUGUGUGGCGCAAGCGCGGGCUUAACUUGCGGGCGCGGAUUAGGGAAGAGGCCAUCUCGGUGGCGGCUUGUGACCUGGGGGACGCGCUAGCACGCGAGCCCGGUGACCAUCAUGUGUGCGUUCUGGACGUACCAUGUGGUGUAUGCCACAAUGCCAUGUGGGUUGGGCCUGCAUGAAAUGCUGAUCUGUAGCAGAUCCUCCAUCGCCUCAUCACUGGCUGCUCAAGGGCAGCAUCACACACCAAGGCCUGUGACAACAUCUUCAUGCCCAACUCUCACUCCACAUGGGAACGACACUGCUCUAUUGCUUGCUUAUUUAAGAUCAUGGCAAUCAUUUUAUCUAGCCUAUGUGUUUCUAAUUUUCUCCCCUUAUUGUUGCAGGUUAGAGUGCAGCUUUCAGACACUUCUUUCUUUGGGAUAGUUGGAAUACUAUGACUAAAUAUAGAAGAGGCUCAAAUGGUAAUGCUAUCAGUGUUUGCCCCUUCCGUGAUUUAUGCGUAGCAUGUAGACUAUCAGCGACAAUUUGAGCCUCUUUGUGAAGUAGUUUUGUAGGGUAUUGCUUCAAGUCAAGAAAAUAGCUUCCAAAGAUAGUUUAACCGAAGAGCUUCUGAUCUCUACAUGUGAAUGGUAAACUGCCAAUUUUGUACUUUACUAUUCUAUAUCAAGAAAAUAAAUAAUUGCAUCAUGGUAUUAGUGGCUUAAUUAUUUUUAUGUGCAUUGAACUAUAUAUUUUGAAGCACUUAAUAGUAUCUUUCAUGGAGGAUCUAGGACUCCUGCCAAUUUAUUGUACGGAGUUGUUCUUUGCUAAAAAAAACUUUGCUCAAUUGCGCUUUGCCUCUCAGUGUUAUCAUUAGUUAAUGGCCUAAACUGUUGACAACUUAUCAAAAAAGAAUAAUCAUAUGCAGAUGCAGAAGCAUAUUAGUCAUGCAGAAAUAAUCAUAUGCUGAAGGAAGGACUUGGAACUGUAACUAAAAACAAAAUGGCGCCCACCGACUGUGUGUAUGCCUGUUACCUACGGCGUCGUUGUUUCUUCCCUCGGUCGGGCGUGGUCCACCAGCCACUACCUGUAGGCAAUAGCAUUAGGCCGGCAACUAUCGCGGAUCAAGGGUACAAAUCAACCAGACUAGGAGAGGGGGUGGUGGUCUACGUAGUGGCAGGGAGAGGAAGCGAUGGCUGACACCAAGGCUGGGAGAGGAGCCGGCAGAUGACUCUAUGGCGGGACAAGAGGAGCAGUGGCAGGGAGAGAAAGCGGGACUAUGCCAUGUGAGUUGCUGAAGUUGUGCCUUGUGAGGUGGGGAUAAGGGAUGUGUGUUGUGCAUGUGUAGUGAGAGGCGUGGAGUAGCUUUUCCUUUUUGAGGGAGGCUGUUUAUUUGUCUAGAACAGAUUAGCUUCUUUUCCUUUCUCCCUUGUGAACUGAGAGGAGUGGUUAUUAUGCCACGAGAGAAGUGUCAGAUAUUCUAGAAAUAGCAAAAAAUGUUCUAAAGAUAAUAGCCAAACAAGUGAUCUAGAGAAUGUCCUAUGUUGCUACAAAGCAGGAUGUGACUCACUCCACACAUGCAUACCAUGUAUAUAUUUUGGACUCACUCUACAUCACAUUUGGUAGAGAAUAAAGCUAUGAGA